UACGUAGGGUGCAAGCGUUGUCCGGAAUUAUUGGGCGUAAAGAGCUCGUAGGCGGUUUGUCGCGUCUGCUGUGAAAACCCGAGGCUCAACCUCGGGCCUGCAGUGGGUACGGGCAGACUAGAGUGCGGUAGGGGAGAAUGGAAUUCCUGGUGUAGCGGUGGAAUGCGCAGAUAUCAGGAGGAACACCGAUGGCGAAGGCAGGUCACUGGGCCGCAACUGACGCCGAGGAGCGAAAGCAUGGGGAGCGAACAGG
Molecule: ribosomal RNA, 253 nt
Filed under: uncultured bacterium
Lineage: Bacteria
Description: partial 16S ribosomal RNA
Rfam family: Bacterial small subunit ribosomal RNA
Source: RNAcentral